GCUGGGAGUGGGAAGAGCAGCUGUGGUGGUGGCUCGCAGACAGGUACUGCAUUUUGAUAAAUUGAAGGUUUGUGGAACGCUGCAUUGAGCAAGUCUAUUGGUACCAUUUUCCAACAGCAUGUGCUCACUUCAUGUCUCUGUGCCACAUUUGGUUUUUGCAAUCUCCAGGAACGCCAGGCCACAUGAUUGAAACAGUUGUUCAAUUUUUCUUGCUGAAGAUGGUGAACUGGGUUAAGUUUAGAAACAACCAUAGCUGGAAAAAGUAUGACUUUGUUAGCUGCUUACUUCCUUUUCAGAGAAAAAAUACUUUUCUAGUUUCUUUCUUUAGUUACAAAAAUAAUAUGUGCUAAUUAUAACAAGCCAAUCAAUGGAGAGGCCUGCGGAUAUGAAGUUCAUAGUCAUUCAUUCACUCUUCUGCAGAGUGGCUCCCCAAGGCAGCCAACAUUGACAAGCAGGCUUGUGUGUUUCCACACUGUCUCUUGAGCGAGGCUUAUUUAGUCUACACUUGCCUCCUUUAAAGCUGUUCACAAGCAGAUGAGGAUCAAUCUCGGAUUCUAGAAGGAAGAACCCAGCCCCUACUGUUAGAAGGAGCAGUGAAGGCGGCAGGUCAAAGCACAGCCUGGAGCCGACUGUCUGUGUCCAAAUCCCACUUCACCACUUGCUGCAUAACUGGAGCAGAUGAUUCAGCUUUUCUCUGCCUUAACUGACUCAUGUAAAUGGGGAUAUUAAAAUAUCACAUAUGGAUUAUUAUAUUGACUAGGAAGUUAAUGCAAUACAGCAUGCAUAGCAGUUAGUAAGCACUCAAUAAAUGGUAGAUAUUAUUAUUUUCUCUCUUGUGGGAGCAACAAAAGUGAAAAGAAUGACCCUUUGGUAACUGGGGAUCUGAGUAUACACAGACUGUACCAAUCAUAACCACAAUCACCAAAAAAACUACAUUUGUGGAGGCUUAGUGUUAACACAGUCCCAAAACACUUCAUCUAUUGAUUCCCUUAUAUGGCUAGAAUUUAACAUUAAUUCUUUUUUCAUUUUUCAGGAAUAAUAAAGAACAUCAAUAAAAUUAUAGGCAUAAUUUUUAAACAAUUUUAUUGAAGAAUAAUUAUAUGUAAUAAAAUUCACUGGCCGGGUGCAGUGGCUCAUGCCUGUAAUCUCACCACUUUGGGAGGCCAAGGCGGGGGGAUUACUUGAGGCCAAAGUUUAAGACCAGCUUGGGCAAAAAAGCAAAAGCCUGUCUUUACUCUCUCUCUCUCUCUCUCUCUCCAUAUAUAUAUAUAUAUAUAUAUAUAUAUAUAUAUAUAUAUAUAUAUUUUUUUUUUUUUUUUUUUUUUUUUUUUUUAAAUAGCCAGGUGUAGUGGUGUGCGCCUCAAGUCCCAGCUACUUUCAAGGGGCUGAGGUAAGAGGAUUGCUUGAGCCCAGUAGUUGCAGGCUGCAAUGAGCUAUGAUCCCACCACUGUACUCCAGCCUGGGUGACAGAGUGAGACCUUGUCUCUAAAAAUAAAUAAAUAAGUAAAUACAAAUUUUUAAAAAUAAAAAUUCAUCCAUUUUAAGAAUACAAUUAAAUAAGUUUUAGUAAAUUUACCAAGCUGUGCAACCAUCACCACAACCCAGUUUCAGAACAUUUACAUCACCCUUGGAAGCUCCCUCAUGCCUGUUUACAGUUAACCCCAGUUCCUAUCCCCAGCUCUGGGCACCAUUAAUCUACUACUCUCUGUCUCUAUGACUUUGCUUUUUCUGGACACUUCAUAUAAAUGGAUUAUGCAGUAUGUGGCCUUUUGUAUCUGACUUAUUUCGUUAACAUAAUGUUUUAAAGAUCCAUCUACACUGAAGUACGUAUCAGUAUGUGUUCCUUUGUACUGAGGAACUGUAUUCCACUGUAUGGAUAUACCACAGUUUGUUCAUCCAUUCGACAAUGGAUGGACAGUUGGUUGUGUCCACUUUUUAGCUAUUAUGAAUAAUGUCACUAUGAACAUUUGUGUACAAGUUUUUGGGUGGACUUACGUUUUUAUUUCUCUUGGGUAGAUACAUAGAAGUGAAUAUAGUACAUUUAUAUUUAACUUUUUGAAACUAUUAAACUGUUUUCUACAGUGAUCGCACCAUUUUAUAUUCCCACCAGCAAUGUGUGAAGGUUCUACAGGUCUAAACUUAAAGGUCAAAAUAGAAAGAAGAUCUAAAAAUACAUGAAUUCAAGUGCUGAAUGUCCGUUCUCUGACACUGGUUAUCUUCUAAACUCCCCUUUAAUGAAAGGACAGGGAGAAUCCUUCCCCUGCCUUCCCCAGAUUCUCAUUUCCCAUAUUUUGCUGUUUGGCUAAGUGGGGGCUCCCUCACCUCAUUUAGUCCUGCUAAUUCAGGGAAAGCAACCCUGUGCUCCUCCACUCCUAGCAACCCUAAGAGGCUAUCUAAAGUGGAAAGAACAUUUUACAAAUGCAAAUUCAGUCCUUGGGUAUGGCAAGAGAAGAGUUAAUGCAGUUUGUAAUAAUUAUUGACUACAAGAACUGCAAAUGAUUGCAUAAAAUUUCUAAAAUAUGCCUGCAAGGUUCUCUUAUUGAUGUGUUGCCCCCAGGGGUACACAUAUGGGUUUAAGUGUCUAAACUGUUUUAUUAAUUAAAUUGCUAUGAUUUACCUCUCCCAUGUUAGCAUUUACAGUUUAUGAAACAGCCCUGUAAUUAGAAAAUGAUGUACUAGUGUUGCUUGUUUACUUUGUGGGUGAAAUAUUAUACACACACAGAUGUGUAUGUGUAUAUAUAUACACUCACUUAUAUAUGUUUAUAGACACACACAUGUGCACGCGCGCACACACACACACAAAGUGUUUUUUCUUGGGUCAACCCUCAUAGGCUACUUUAUUUCUAGUCCAAUUAAUAGGCAACCUCCAGUGGUGCAUUAAAUUGGUUUUUAGCGGGAGGGGGAGGAUAACUGAGAAGUUCAUUGUUCCUGCUGAGGUGUGUCAUGGCAUCCAUGUAUGUUUGUUUAUUUUCCCUCCAUAGACAGACAAUUGAAAUCACAAGAAUUUAUUGUAAAAAAAAAAAUCUGUUGAGAACAGCCCUGAGGAUACUUCAGCAAAUCCUAAAACUGUACCUACUUUAAUUAUACAGCAUCUUAUUAUCUUCUGCGUCCAUUCUGAAGGUAUAUGUAGGAAUAUAUAAUAUAAAUUACCUGUGCUACAUAGACAAUGCCUAAAUAAAGUUGUUGUUGAAGUGCUU
This 3197-nucleotide long non-coding RNA is filed under the name Homo sapiens (human). RNAcentral's name for it is "HSALNT0100983". Lineage: Eukaryota; Metazoa; Chordata; Mammalia; Primates; Hominidae. The record is from RNAcentral.